This 586-nucleotide ribosomal RNA is filed under the name uncultured bacterium. RNAcentral describes it as "bacterial SSU rRNA". It matches the Rfam family "Bacterial small subunit ribosomal RNA", at positions 339 to 915 of the family's 1533-position model. The record is from RNAcentral.
CUACGGGAGGCAGCAGUAGGGAAUCUUCCGCAAUGGACGAAAGUCUGACGGAGCAACGCCGCGUGAGUGAUGAAGGCUUUCGGGUCGUAAAACUCUGUUGUUAGGGAAGAACAAGUGCUAGUUGAAUAAGCUGGCACCUUGACGGUACCUAACCAGAAAGCCACGGCUAACUACGUGCCAGCAGCCGCGGUAAUACGUAGGUGGCAAGCGUUAUCCGGAAUUAUUGGGCGUAAAGCGCGCGCAGGUGGUUUCUUAAGUCUGAUGUGAAAGCCCACGGCUCAACCGUGGAGGGUCAUUGGAAACUGGGAGACUUGAGUGCAGAAGAGGAAAGUGGAAUUCCAUGUGUAGCGGUGAAAUGCGUAGAGAUAUGGAGGAACACCAGUGGCGAAGGCGACUUUCUGGUCUGUAACUGACACUGAGGCGCGAAAGCGUGGGGAGCAAACAGGAUUAGAUACCCUGGUAGUCCACGCCGUAAACGAUGAGUGCUAAGUGUUAGAGGGUUUCCGCCCUUUAGUGCUGAAGUUAACGCAUUAAGCACUCCGCCUGGGGAGUACGGCCGCAAGGCUGAAACUCAAAGGAAUUGACG